AGCGAACGCUGGCGGCAGGCCUAACGCAUGCAAGUCGAACGGACCCUUCGGGGUUAGUGGCGGACGGGUGAGUAACACGUGGGAACGUGCCUUUAGGUUCGGAAUAGCUCCUGGAAACGGGUGGUAAUGCCGAAUGUGCCCUUCGGGGGAAAGAUUUAUCGCCUUUAGAGCGGCCCGCGUCUGAUUAGCUAGUUGGUGGUGUAACGGACCACCAAGGCGACGAUCAGUAGCUGGUCUGAGAGGAUGAUCAGCCACAUUGGGACUGAGACACGGCCCAAACUCCUACGGGAGGCAGCAGUGGGGAAUCUUGCGCAAUGGGCGAAAGCCUGACGCAGCCAUGCCGCGUGAAUGAUGAAGGUCUUAGGAUUGUAAAAUUCUUUCACCGGGGACGAUAAUGACGGUACCCGGAGAAGAAGCCCCGGCUAACUUCGUGCCAGCAGCCGCGGUAA
Molecule: ribosomal RNA, 449 nt
Filed under: uncultured bacterium
Lineage: Bacteria
Description: partial 16S ribosomal RNA
Rfam family: Bacterial small subunit ribosomal RNA
Source: RNAcentral